GACGAACGCUGGCGGCGUGCUUAACACAUGCAAGUCGAACGGAAAGGCCCUGCUGUUGUGGGGUGCUCGAGUGGCGAACGGGUGAGUAACAAGUGAGUAACCUGCCCUUGACUUUGGGAUAACUUCAGGAAACUGGGGCUAAUACCGGAUAGGAGCUCCUGCUGCAUGGUGUGGGUUGGAAAGUUUCGGCGGUUGGGGCUGGACUCGCGGCUUAUCAGCUUGUUGGGGGGGUGGUGGCUUACCAAGGCUUUGAAGGGUAGCCGGCCUGGGAGGGUGACCGGGCACCAUGGGCCUGAGAGAGGGACCAGACUCCUACGGGAGGCAGCAGGGGGGAACAUUGCACAAUGGGCGGAAGUCUGAUGAAGCAACGCCGCGUGCGGGAUGAAGGCCUUCGGGUUGUAAACCGCUUUCGCCUGUGACGAAGCGUGAGUGACGGUAAUGGGUAAAGAAGCACCGGCUAACUACGUG
This 468-nucleotide ribosomal RNA is filed under the name uncultured bacterium. RNAcentral's name for it is "partial 16S ribosomal RNA". It matches the Rfam family "Bacterial small subunit ribosomal RNA", at positions 28 to 507 of the family's 1533-position model. The record is from RNAcentral.